RNAcentral lists this ribosomal RNA (435 nucleotides) under uncultured bacterium. Its description in RNAcentral is "partial 16S ribosomal RNA". It matches the Rfam family "Bacterial small subunit ribosomal RNA", at positions 30 to 507 of the family's 1533-position model. The record is from RNAcentral.
CUCGCACGCUGGCGGCAGGCUUAACACAUGCAAGUCGAGCGGGCACUUUCGGGUGUCCGCGGCGGACGGGUGAGUAACGCGUGGGAACGUGCCCUCUGGUUCGGAAUAACUCAGGGAAACUUGAGCUAAUACCGGAUACGCCCUUUUGGGGAAAGGCUUGCUGCCGGAGGAUCGGCCCGCGUCUGAUUAGCUAGUUGGUGAGGUAACGGCUCACCAAGGCGACGAUCAGUAGCUGGUCUGAGAGGAUGAUCAGCCACACUGGGACUGAGACACGGCCCAGACUCCUACGGGAGGCAGCAGUGGGGAAUAUUGGACAAUGGGCGCAAGCCUGAUCCAGCCAUGCCUCGUGAGUGAUGAAGGCCUUAGGGUUGUAAAGCUCUUUUAUCCGGGACGAUAAUGACGGUACCGGAGGAAUAAGCCCCGGCUAACUUCGUG